RNAcentral lists this long non-coding RNA (873 nucleotides) under Felis catus (domestic cat). RNAcentral describes it as "lncRNA (ENSFCAG00000046824.1)". The record is from RNAcentral. Lineage: Eukaryota; Metazoa; Chordata; Mammalia; Carnivora; Felidae.
AUGGGCUGGGUGCAGGGAAGUCCUGCCCUCGGAUGUCCUGCCCAGGGCCUCCUGGUGUGUGGCCUGCCUAUGCCUGAUACCAAUGGCGUGUUGGCCUUGACCGACGGUCCCUGGUUCUUCAGUGCUUUUGCGGACAGCAGGGAACACACAUGUCCGCGCGGAAGAGGGGGUCGGAAAGGAAAACCACAUCUCCAAGCACGAGGCACCUCCUUCCAGCAGGAGGCUUAUCCAUCCUACCGUGUGCCACUGCUUCGAAGGGAACCGUUUUCUGACGUGUCACGGCCAGGAGUUGGCAGUUACCCACUUUCAGGAGCAGCGACGGUGUCCCCACCUGCGGGGAUGGUGAGGCACAUCCAAUCCCGGGGCUCUGAUCAGGUGAGCAAGACACAGAAAGCGCUGCUUGCGGGGGGGCUGGUGUGGAGACCGGUUGACAAGCAGGGAUACAAGGGAAUGGCCGAGAGUACUCCCGGGGACAAGAGUGCCUCUGAGGGACUCUGCUGGUGUCUGAGAGAGUCCCGGGAGGGAAGAUUGCACGUGGCACUGGCCAUGAUUUACCCACCCCAAUUAGCUGCAACAACAGCCCAUGCUGUGAAGCAAAUCAAAGGGGGAAAAAAUAGCCUUUCCAGAAUGGUGACAGAUGUCUCAUAGUGCCGCAUUACAGUGAGAAGCACUUGGACCUUAUUCUAGGUGAGAAGUCCAAUGAAACCCAAACGUCCUCUGGACAAGGCUGCUCCGUGAAAUAGAGCUGCCCCUCAGUGAGUCUGGCUGUCUCUCCGGGCCCCUCGCCAAGCCUCAGAAGCACCUUAACUCGAAGCCCUGCUGAUUCAAAGCACCGCCUUCUGUUCUGGGCAAGCCUUGGCCAGGAAAAGUCAG